UGGGGAAUAUUGGACAAUGGGGGCAACCCUGAUCCAGCGAUGCCGCGUGUGUGAAGAAGGCCCGAGGGUUGUAAAGCACUUUUAGUGGGGAGGAUAGGCAUUUGGCUAAUACCCAGAUGUCCAGACGUUACCCACCAUAAACAGCACCGGCUAACUCCGUGCCAGCAGCCGCGGUAAUACGGGGGGUGCAAGCGUUAAUCGGAGUUAUUGGGCGUAAAGGGUGCGUAGGUGGUUCAUUAAGUUAUCUGGGAAAUUCCUGGGCUCAACCUAGGAAUGUCGGGUGAUACUGGUGGACUUGAGUAUAGUAGAGGGUAGUGGAAUUUCCGGUGUAGCGGUGAAAUGCGUAGGGAUCGGAAGGAACACCAGUGGCGAGGGCGGCUACCUGGACUAAUACUGACACUGAGGCACGAAAGCGUGGGGAGCAAACAGGAUUAGAUACCCUGGUAGUCCACGCCGUAAACGAUGUCAACUAGCUGUUGGGUACUUAAAUGUACUUAGUGGCGUAGCUAACGCGAUAAGUUGACCGCCUGGGGAGUACGAUCGCAAGAUUA
This 551-nucleotide ribosomal RNA is filed under the name uncultured Gammaproteobacteria bacterium. Its description in RNAcentral is "bacterial SSU rRNA". It matches the Rfam family "Bacterial small subunit ribosomal RNA", at positions 355 to 896 of the family's 1533-position model. Lineage: Bacteria; Pseudomonadati; Pseudomonadota; Gammaproteobacteria. The record is from RNAcentral.